Non-coding RNA from Brachypodium distachyon (stiff brome), 136 nucleotides. The record is from Rfam. Lineage: Eukaryota; Viridiplantae; Streptophyta; Magnoliopsida; Poales; Poaceae.
CUAAUACUUCCUCCGUCCAACAAAGGAUGUCUCAUCUUUGACUAAAUUUGAAUGCAUCUAUACACUAAGUCAUGUCUAGAUACAUCCAAAUUUUGACAAACUUGAGACAUCUUUUGUUGGACGGAGGGAGUUAGAA